UCUGUGUGUGUGUAUGGACUCAGCAGUCUGUGUGUAUGUGUAUGGACAUAGCAGUCUGUGUGUGUGUAUGGACUCAGCAGUCUGUGUGUCUGUGUGUGUGUAUGGACUCAGCAGUCUGUGUGUGUGUCUGUGUGUGUGUAUGGACAUAGCAGUCUGUGUGUGUGUCUGUGUGUGUGUAUGGACUUAGCAGUCUGUGUGUGUGUCUGUGUG
Pelobates cultripes (western spadefoot toad) is the source of this 210-nucleotide non-coding RNA. NCBI's taxonomy places the organism in Eukaryota, Metazoa, Chordata, Amphibia, Anura, Pelobatidae. The record is from the annotation of a GenBank genome assembly.